GAGUUUGAUCCUGGCUCAGGAUGAACGCUGGCGGCGUGCUUAAUACAUGCAAGUCGAACGAAGCUCUUUUUCUUCGGAUGAAGAGUCUUAGUGGCGAACGGGUGCGUAACGCGUUGGUAACCUGCCCCAAAGAGGGGGAUAACAGUUCGAAAGGACUGCUAAUACCCCAUGUGAUCAUCAGGAUUAGAUGCUUGAUGAUGAAAGGAGUAAUCCGCUUUGGGAGGGGCCUGCGUCCCAUCAGCUUGUUGGUAGGGUAAUGGCCUACCAAGGCUCUGACGGGUAGGGGACCUGAGAGGGUGGCCCCCCACACUGGCACUGAAAUACGGGCCAGACACCUACGGGUGGCAGCAGUAGGGAAUAUUGGACAAUGGGCGAAAGCCUGAUCCAGCAACGCCGCGUGCACGAUGACGGCCUUCGGGUUGUAAAGUGCUUUUAGGAGAGAUGAGAAAGGACAGUAUCUCCUGAAUAAGCCUCGGCGAACUACGUGCCAGCAGCCGCGGUAAGACGUAGGAGGCGAGCGUUAUCCGGAUUUAUUGGGCGUAAAGCGCGUGCAGGCGGUUUGGAAAGUUGGAUGUGAAAGCUCCUGGCUUAACUGGGAGAGGUCGUUCAAACUACCAGACUAGAGAAUGGGAGAGGGAAGUGGAAUUCCGGGUGUAGUGGUGAAUGCGUAGAUAUCCGGAGGAACACCAGUGGCGAAAGCGGCUUCCUGGACCAUUUCUGACGCUAAGACGCGAAAGCUAGGGAGCGAACGGGAUAGAGACCCCGGUAGUCCUAGCUGUAACG
RNAcentral lists this ribosomal RNA (783 nucleotides) under uncultured bacterium. Its description in RNAcentral is "bacterial SSU rRNA". It matches the Rfam family "Bacterial small subunit ribosomal RNA", at positions 9 to 807 of the family's 1533-position model. The record is from RNAcentral.